RNAcentral lists this long non-coding RNA (1169 nucleotides) under Sus scrofa (pig). RNAcentral's name for it is "lncRNA (ENSSSCG00025016225.1, ENSSSCG00035027527.1, ENSSSCG00040070917.1, ENSSSCG00055027389.1)". The record is from RNAcentral. Lineage: Eukaryota; Metazoa; Chordata; Mammalia; Artiodactyla; Suidae.
GACUAAAGCUUCAUUGGUUACCCAAGUGCCUUCCUUCCUGGCAAGAGAUCCUUCCUUCUUUCCUCCCUUCCCUUCUUCCCUCUCUGCCACCAACUUUUCUUUCUUUACAUUUUUGACUUUUUCGGGAGGAGGGAAGAGAAAGCAACAGAGGAGCCCUUGGAAAGUCUCCCCAGGACAUAGCAUCUCAGGAGUGUUUCCAAGGUGGGCUGGUGGGGUGUAGGGGAGGCAGCACAGGUGAUGACAGUUCAGCUGCUCUGCCCGGAGAACAGAAUUCUCUUUCCCUGCUGCUCUGCAAUUCCCUUUGGCUGUACUGAUUGAAGUCGCCUCAGAAAGCUACAAUCUGAUCCUUGUCUCCAGGCUUGUCCCAGGCUCUGGCACUGAACACAGUCUUCAAGUGUUGCCCCUUGAGCAGCAAAAUGGGCUUAUUGUCGAGUUGUCCCCUUGUGCCCUUACAAAUGCCCUUCUGGGGACCUUCUCUUGGCCAGUGUCUACUGUGGCCAAGUCCCUUUGCUUACUGCCAGCUAGAACUGGUGUUAAUUUUUUAAAGUUUAGAUGCUUUUCAUAGCUUUGCCUCCACUUUUUAACCAGCCUGGGUUUCUUUCCACCAGGAAGUCCAGUGGACUUGCCAAAGUGCACACACUUAGUGAGGAGCAGAACAGCUGUAAAUACUUAUAUAUGCACCGGUUGUUGGAACCCAGGCUGUGUCUCAAUGAAGAUAAUGAAUCAAUUAUUGAAAGUAAACCAGCAAAUGGGAUUUUACACAGGCACUGCAUUAUAGAUUCGUGGGAGUAGACAUACAUGCUCAGCACUCCACUCAUUCAGCAUAUAUCUGGGAGGACAUAACCAUCACUUCCCUCAAAAGGAUCCCAUGCUGGCGAGGAGAGAUGGACAGGGAAACGCACAUACACGGCACUCUGGAGACAUGAAUCAGAAGAAUCACAGACACCUUCCCAAAAGAGGUGACUUACAGGCUGUGGGCCCCCGGAACUCAGGAGUCUGCUGAAAAUCCCAUUUCUCGGUCAACAACCCAGAUGUUUGGACUGUAUGUCUGCACACACGUAGGCGUUUGGAAACGCCCGGAUUUCUGGUGAUUAGAUCCAAAUGCCCAACAGCACUUGGAGAAAGGAGAGUAAGCAUGUACCUUGUAAAUAAUGCAGGCAUGUAUCGUG